UACUAGAGUUUGACGACAUAUAAACAUGAUCUCAAUGAGCCUUGUAGUGGAUGUUGGCGAUAGUUGGUCCACUGUAGGAGUAGGAUGUACAUCAAGAUGAAAUCUAUCAAUCUAGAUAGAAAAAAGUAGUCCUAUGAGAUUUGAGAGGCUAAGUCUAAGAGUCUGUAGCCACAGUAGUGUGAUUGAUAGAAAAGAGUUUUCAUAAGGAUCACAAUUGGAUUUGAGCUAAUUAAAUCUAUCAUAUGACUGAUGAUGAGGUUUAACGAUUUAUCCAUGACCUGCCAUCU
RNAcentral lists this long non-coding RNA (287 nucleotides) under Elaeis guineensis (African oil palm). RNAcentral describes it as "long non-coding RNA (EGUI_LNC064000)". The record is from RNAcentral. Lineage: Eukaryota; Viridiplantae; Streptophyta; Magnoliopsida; Arecales; Arecaceae.